Long non-coding RNA from Eleginops maclovinus (Patagonian blennie), 601 nucleotides. RefSeq lists it as uncharacterized. Lineage: Eukaryota; Metazoa; Chordata; Actinopteri; Perciformes; Eleginopidae. The record is from RefSeq and is a predicted model, not a curated record. The transcript has 3 exons.
GCACAACUAUUCAGACGUGCCUCAAUGAUUAGAGUCGCUAACGAUGGUCUUCAGGCCGGUUCCACUCAUCCUACACUAAUGACAGCUACGUUAUUAUUUCCUCUGGGACUGUCAGGGAGGUUAUUGACUGCUAGUGAUUCAGACCAAGUGGAAGAGGGAAUCAUACUUUAGAAAACGGGCUGACCACAGUCUGAACCUUACAGAGACAUUGGAAGCUACGAAGGUGAAGGAAAGAACAAAGGCAGACCGGGGAUGUGACCUCUUUCCCAGAGGAAGUGAUGGAUAAGGCCAGAAGAGCCAUAACCCAGCAACAUUGAGAUACAAUCCAACAGAGGACACCUGAUGGGUUUCCUCAAAUUGUGGCACCAGGUGCUUCGUUGUGGCUCACAGUCCCGCACAGUGGCCAGACGGCAACCGAGUGGUAGAGGCCAUCUUCACAAACCUCUGUCAGCUCUACCCAAAUAGUGUGUGCUGUGACGGAGUGAGGGUCUCACGAUUCAAAAUGGUGACACGUGCUUAUAAGCACAUCCGAGAGUGUGUGAUCACCAAUGCCAAGUUGAUGACUGAGACCACCAUCCAGCUCCCAGAAGUCAAUGCUGCA